RNAcentral lists this ribosomal RNA (476 nucleotides) under Actinomycetaceae bacterium P145. RNAcentral describes it as "bacterial SSU rRNA". It matches the Rfam family "Bacterial small subunit ribosomal RNA", at positions 27 to 497 of the family's 1533-position model. Lineage: Bacteria; Bacillati; Actinomycetota; Actinomycetes; Actinomycetales; Actinomycetaceae. The record is from RNAcentral.
GGACGAACGCUGGCGGCGUGCUUAACACAUGCAAGUCGAACGGAAAGGCCUCUUCCUUUUUGGUUGGGGUGCUCGAGUGGCGAACGGGUGAGUAACACGUGAGUAACCUGCCCUCUUCUCUGGGAUAAGCUUGGGAAACUGGGUCUAAUACUGGAUAUUCUGCUCUGGUCGCAUGGUUGGGGUUGGAAAGGUUUUUUCUGGUGGGGGAUGGGCUCGCGGCCUAUCAGCUUGUUGGUGGGGUGAUGGCCUACCAAGGCUUCGACGGGUAGCCGGCCUGAGAGGGUGACCGGCCACACUGGGACUGAGAUACGGCCCAGACUCCUACGGGAGGCAGCAGUGGGGAAUAUUGCACAAUGGGCGCAAGCUUGAUGCAGCGACGCCGCGUGGGGGAUGACGGCUUUCGGGUUGUAAACCUCUUUCGAUGGGGAACAAGGCAUCUUUUGGGUGUUGAGUGUACCUGUAUAAGAAGCGCCGGC